This 497-nucleotide ribosomal RNA is filed under the name uncultured bacterium. RNAcentral's name for it is "partial 16S ribosomal RNA". It matches the Rfam family "Bacterial small subunit ribosomal RNA", at positions 28 to 507 of the family's 1533-position model. The record is from RNAcentral.
GAUGAACGCUGGCGGCGUGCCUAAUACAUGCAAGUCGAGCGAACGGACGAGAAGCUUGCUUCUCUGAUGUUAGCGGCGGACGGGUGAGUAACACGUGGAUAACCUACCUAUAAGACUGGGAUAACUUCGGGAAACCGGAGCUAAUACCGGAUAAUAUUUUGAACCGCAUGGUUCAAAAGUGAAAGACGGUCUUGCUGUCACUUAUAGAUGGAUCCGCGCUGCAUUAGCUAGUUGGUAAGGUAACGGCUUACCAAGGCAACGAUGCAUAGCCGACCUGAGAGGGCGAUCGGCCACACUGGAACUGAGACACGGUCCAGACUCCUACGGGAGGCUGCAGUAGGGAAUCUUCCGCAAUGGGCGAAAGCCUGACGGAGCAACGCCGCGUGAGUGAUGAAGGUCUUCGGAUCGUAAAACUCUGUUAUUAGGGAAGAACAUAUGUGUAAGUAACUGUGCACAUCUUGACGGUACCUAAUCAGAAAGCCACGGCUAACUACGUG